AUUGAGCGCUGGCGGCAGGCCUAACGCAUGCAAGUCGAGCGGAUGAAGGGAGCUUGCUCCUGGAUUCAGCGGCGGACGGGUGAGUAAUGCCUAGGAAUCUGCCUGGUAGUGGGGGAUAACGUCCGGAAACGGGCGCUAAUACCGCAUACGUCCUGAGGGAGAAAGUGGGGGAUCUUCGGACCUCACGCUAUCGGAUGAGCCUAGGUCGGAUUAGCUAGUUGGUGGGGUAAAGGCCUACCAAGGCGACGAUCCGUAACUGGUCUGAGAGGAUGAUCAGUCACACUGGAACUGAGACACGGUCCAGACUCCUACGGGAGGCAGCAGUGGGGAAUAUUGGACAAUGGGCGAAAGCCUGAUCCAGCCAUGCCGCGUGUGUGAAGAAGGUCUUCGGAUUGUAAAGCACUUUAAGUUGGGAGGAAGGGCAGUAAGUUAAUACCUUGCUGUUUUGACGUUACCAACAGGAUAAGCACCGGCUAACUUCGUG
RNAcentral lists this ribosomal RNA (484 nucleotides) under uncultured bacterium. RNAcentral describes it as "partial 16S ribosomal RNA". It matches the Rfam family "Bacterial small subunit ribosomal RNA", at positions 30 to 507 of the family's 1533-position model. The record is from RNAcentral.